GAGAACUCUCAACAGAAGAAUCUAAAAUGGCUGAAAGACACUUAAGAACAAAUGUUGCUGCCCUACCUGUGCUCCACAUGAAGAGCUGCUUUGCUAAUGGCCUUAAAGCAGUGGGUGAAUGGACGUCAGAGGGAAGACAUAGACACUGGGGAGCCAAGGUAACAGUCGAUCAGUUGAGUGAAAUCAAGGCAAGAAACUUAAUCCGGACAAGAACCCGGAGGCACAAACUGAUCUGGAGGUCAUGGAGGAAUGUUGCUUAGUAGCUUACCACUCAUGAAUUCCUCAGCCUGCUUUUUUAUACCUUUCCAUGACCACCUACCCCAGGAUGGCACUGCCAUGUUUAGUUGGGUACUUUUACAUCAAUCACUGGUUAAAAAAUUCCUGCAAGUUUUUUCUGAGGCCAGUAUGGGAGGGGAAGCAUUUUCUUAAUUGACUAUCUUUCAUCCCAAAUAGCUCUAGCUUGUGUCAAGCAGACAUAAAUUAGCCAACAAAAUACUUGUAUAAAGGUUUUUAAAUGCGAAUAAUUAUAGUCUUGUUUGAACUUAACAAAUAUGAUUAGCAGAUAUUAAUAAGAUAUAAAUUAUUUUUGCAUUGUGUGUGAUAUUAUCUUUGCUAAAUGGACAAUUGACAUGCAGUUUAAAUACCUACACAGAGAAGUAGAAAGUUUUAACUAGAGUAGAAACAAAGAUUAAAAAGGAACAUAAGUGAAAGAACUGUAUCAUUAUUUAUUUUGUAAAAUACAUAAAAUAUUUGAUAAUAAUUAAACAGCAUUAAAAGUGUAUAUAUCCUUAAAUAUUUGAAGGUACAUCACCUGACAAUGUUCUGUCAUUAUUUGGAAUUGGUCUUUGUAUGGCACCUUGAGUGGUGCCAUUUGUUAUAUACAUUUUAAAUGAGUGCCCUAGAGUGCAGCACUAAGGGUAGAAAAGGGAAAUAUAGUCACUUUCAAGAAAUAUUCAGUUCAAUAUUAGAAAAAAAUAGCCUGAGAGAAUGUUAAUAUUAAGUCAAAUACCAUGGAGCCAUCAAACUUCUUCACAUUCCUUGAGAGACAAGAAUUCCAGAGGUUAGAAACUGAAGCACCAAGAAAGAAUAUUCUACACUGAAUAUUUAUUUAUGUUCAAUCGACAAAAUGUCUUCUCAUUAAAUGAGGAUCGGAGGGCAGUGACUAUUGAACCAAUGGACUGCCAAAAUAGGAAGCAACUGUUGCUUCUCUUCCUUACAGCACUUACCUUGCUUUAUAUUCAAGAUCCUGUAACUGUGACAUAAUAACCACUAAAAGGUUGUACAUACAGUAACAGGUGGCAUGCCUCCAGCCAAAUGGAUGAGCAGAUCAUUCCCCAAAUGUUGCUAAGAGUUCUGAGUAUUUCCAAUAUAAAUAUUUAAAUACACUUUAAUCUAAAAGCAGCAAGCAAUGUGUAGAUGCUGCUGGUAUAACUCAUGUGAUGAAAUUUAAUAUUUUAUUCUAAAAUUAUACUCUUUUGGUAGCUAAAUCAAGCUGAAAAUUGAUACUUGGUAUAAAAGCACCUUUAUAUAUUAAUAGAUUUUGAAAGCAUUAUUAGAGCCUUGAUUGAAACUAUUCCCUUCUGUGGAAAUGAGAAAGGAUUUUAAUUAGCUUUAUUAAAACUUUAGGUAGUGAUAAAUGACUAAAGUCCUUCUUUAAAACCUUCCUGUGUUUUUAUUAUUAGAAUUUGUUUAAUGGAACUCAUUACUAAGCCAACUCACUUCAACUGUUUAAUUCUCAGAAAGUAUCUUAGUGAAAAGUUCUUGGUUAGAAAAUUGUUGCUUUUAAGACGGAAAGUGCCCCCCCUGUCCAAAUGGCAAUUAAAAGAAAUAGGUCAGGCUGAUCCUCUGCCUUAGGGGCGAGGUCAGAUGAAGUCAAAUAUAAUGAAAGAAGAAAUGGUGUAAUGUGAAGUCAGUUAAGAAAAGCAGCAGAUACUCAUAAACAUUUCUGUGGAAAGUUACCAAAUUUCCAGAAGUUAUUUUUUUAGGUACUUAGGAAUGGCACUUGCUGAACAGCACAUGUACUACUGUGGUUGCUUAAACAGAGAACAGGCACUGAGAAUUUUCUAUGCUAUGCUUUUUUGUGUUUCUAUUAGGAUGGCAGAGCUAUAUAGAAUGUUUACAGACAACCUUUGCUGGGGUCAAUAAUCUACGUGACAACUUUCAUAGCAUAGAGCCUGGAGUUUCAAAAUCCCACUAAAAAGGCUGAAAUAAAACAGGAAUCCUCAGAAGUGCAACAUUGGUAUCAACUGAUAAUGGAUUCUAAGGAAAACUGUUUUAAUCUAAAUGUCUGUCUCCGUCAACCAUCAAUAUCACCUGUUUCUCUUUGUACACCUCUUAAAUAUAAGAAGUUGCAAAACUUAGAUUCUUAUCUUUCUUAUUCAUUAGGGACAAGGUGUUUUAAGAGACACGUGAGCCAACCCCGAUGGCAUGCUGGUUUCCCCUGCGCUUUCUGACUCUUAUCAAGUUCUUUGGUACACUUUUGGACUGUGAUCCUUACCCAGCGUCCAUGGUACCAAAAGGUACUAUGCAAGCAUCAAAGAGAAGGAAGCAAUCAAUAACUCAGAAGCAACACCAAUGAACCAUAACAAUUGUUAACAAGCAUAUUCAGAGAAGACACACCUGUAAAGUCUCAUCAGCAUACUUAAGCAAGACAUGAAUAACAAUGGCAUGGCACCAACAAGCAGUAAAAAAUGAACAAAGAGAGUUCUUGGGGACUUGACUCUCUUCAAAGAACUAUAGGUAACUUAUAAUUUCUGAGAGCAUGAAAAGUGUAUGUGUGUGUGCAUGCAUAUGCAUGUGUGACUACUUACAUAUAUAUAUAGGUUCAUUAAUUUCAAAUAGGGAAAGAGAGUGUAGUCCUGGAGAUAAAAUGGAGAGAGAAUAGUGAAAGGCAAAAUUGAAUAAUUAUAUUUUAAUUGGAAAAAAUAUUUUUUUGAAAAUUGCUAUUUAUGUAUAAUCUCAAAAAGUUAAGUGUGAGUGAGAAGUAGACAUUGUUAGCCAGUUCAAUGGUAGUGACAGCCCCCUAUCAGUUAUCACACUGUAUUUGUUAUUUUUCUGUUGCUAUUUGAAAAUUCUCUGACAAAACAACUUAAAGAAGAAAAGUUUAUUUUAGCACGUGGUUUCUGAGAGAUGGAUUUCAUCCAUGUUGUUGAAGUCAUGCAUAUCAGGGAGCUGGCUGAUAUUUUUAUUCUCAUACAGGAGAUAGAGAGAGGGAGAUGAUAUAGAGAUAA
Molecule: non-coding RNA, 3230 nt
Organism: Myodes glareolus (Bank vole)
Lineage: Eukaryota; Metazoa; Chordata; Mammalia; Rodentia; Cricetidae
Source: RefSeq, a predicted model, not a curated record